UAAUAUUUCAUUAAACCGGAUAAAGAUUCAAGGCUAUUCAGUUCUGCGCACAAGUUCUCAUGGAUCGUAAUCAGAGAGCUGGGAUUCCAACCUAAGUCUCCCUACAUACGGAAUUAGAAUGCCCUGUGAGGACCAGAAAUGACUGCUAGCCAAUGGACAGAGAAGCUCUCCAUCAAUUCAUAACUUUGAACAGCAGAUGGACAACUAGACAUACAAGUCUAUGUGCCGUGUAUCUAAAUGAUAUCCCUGUAAGUCAGUAAUCUCAGAACUAAAUUGUCUCCCAUGACAGGCACUGAAAAAUAGACUCUAAGGGUCAUUCUCUGUCUGACCAGAGCAAUAAUUUUAGGAUUUUCAACAUUUGCAAAGGAAAUUCUUAACUUCUGAAGGUGCUCUUGUUCUAUCAAUUUAAAAAGGUUUUUGAAAGAUAUUGAAACUAUAGAAAAUAAAAAGACUUCUACAGAAAGUACUUAAGGCAAAGAAAAAUCUAGCUUUCUGGACCAAACUGCACAGUCGUAGGCGACUUGGGACAUGGAAGGAAAGACCUGUUGCCUGUUUUUCUUCGCCUGUUCAUUGUCCUUAAUUACAAUUUAGGCAACAAAAUGAAACAUAAAUGGCUUUUUUUUUUUAUCAACGGAACAUAGCCGGAAGCACAAACAAUAAAUUAUGAAUGACCGAAGCAGAAACUUUUCCGGAUCCCGUGCGCAGGACGCUAUCGCGCAUGUUCGGGAUC
Non-coding RNA from Miniopterus natalensis, 730 nucleotides. The record is from RefSeq and is a predicted model, not a curated record. NCBI's taxonomy places the organism in Eukaryota, Metazoa, Chordata, Mammalia, Chiroptera, Miniopteridae.